GCUGGGAUGGCAGAUCGGUUAUGCCCUCGCCUGCAGAGCGAGUCAGGGGGGUUCAACUCCCUCUCCCAGCU
RNAcentral lists this transfer RNA (71 nucleotides) under Candidatus Diapherotrites archaeon CG11_big_fil_rev_8_21_14_0_20_37_9. Its description in RNAcentral is "tRNA-Cys". It matches the Rfam family "tRNA". Rfam says of the family: Transfer RNA (tRNA) molecules are approximately 80 nucleotides in length. Their secondary structure includes four short double-helical elements and three loops (D, anti-codon, and T loops). Further hydrogen bonds mediate the characteristic L-shaped molecular structure. tRNAs have two regions of fundamental functional importance: the anti-codon, which is responsible for specific mRNA codon recognition, and the 3' end, to which the tRNAs corresponding amino acid is attached (by aminoacyl-tRNA synthetases). tRNAs cope with the degeneracy of the genetic code in two manners: having more than one tRNA (with a specific anti-codon) for a particular amino acid; and 'wobble' base-pairing, i.e. permitting non-standard base-pairing at the 3rd anti-codon position. Lineage: Archaea; Nanobdellati; Candidatus Iainarchaeota. The record is from RNAcentral.